AGGACGAACGCUGGCGGCGUGCCUAACACAUGCAAGUCGAACGAGAUCCAUGGGAGCUUGCUCCCGGAAGAUCUAGUGGCGAACGGGUGAGUAACACGUGAGAAACCUGCCCUGGAGUGGGGAAUAACUCGGGGAAACUCGAGCUAAUACCGCAUACCCUCGGAUGGUCGCAUGGCUGACCGAGGAAAGAUUUAUCGCUCUAGGAGGGUCUCGCGGCCUAUCAGCUAGUUGGUGGGUAACGGCCUACCAAGGCAACGACGGGUAGCUGGUUUGAGAGAACGAUCAGCCACACUGGGACUGAGACACGGCCCAGACUCCUACGGGAGGCAGCAGUGGGGAAUCUUGCGCAAUGGGCGAAAGCCUGACGCAGCAACGCCGCGUGCGGGAUGACGGCCUUCGUGGUUGUAAACCGCUUUCAGCAGGGACGAAAAUGACGGUACCUGCAGAAGAAGCCCCGGCUAACUACGUG
This 469-nucleotide ribosomal RNA is filed under the name uncultured bacterium. RNAcentral's name for it is "bacterial SSU rRNA". It matches the Rfam family "Bacterial small subunit ribosomal RNA", at positions 26 to 507 of the family's 1533-position model. The record is from RNAcentral.